AUUGCUGUGCAACGUAUUCUGAAUAUCCCUUUGGUACUAGGUAUGAUAAGUGAUUUUGUUUCUUGGCACUUCAUCAAGAACGGUUUUUUCUCCGUAAGGUCAACUUAUCAUGAAGAGUGGGAACACCAACAUGGACGAAAGUUGAGAAUGACAAACUCAGUUCAAUCCUUAAGUACUAGACCUGUUUGGAGUACCAUUUGGAAAUUAAAUGUACCAUCCAAGAUAAAAAUUCAUGUGUGGAAAGCCUUACUUGGAUCCAUUCCUUGCUUGGGUGUCUUAGCGAAUAGACAUAUGAUCACGAGCUCGCAUUGUCCUUUUUGCCGAUUGCGAGAGCAAGAUACGCAACGCAUGCUUUUCCUCUGUAGUAAAGCAAAGGAGGUUUGGAAGAGGCUAGGGAUGGAUAUGAUUAUUGAUAAAGCUUGUGAGUACAAUCGUGCUGGGGAGGCAAUAUUGGAAUACCUUCCACUUCUUCCAGACCAAGACUUGUGUAUUAUGGGUCAAAAUGUAUGUGAAAUGGUAGCUAUUUCAGCUUGGUACCUUUGGUGGGAAAGAUGAAAAUUAGUGCACAAGGAAUUAAUUCAGAAUGCAAAUCAGAUAUCAAUGAGGAUCAUAGCCCUCACAUCCAACUUUGUUAAUGCAUCAUUUCCAAAGGCGGCCAUGGAAAAGGAGGUCUGGUACUAUCCUCCUAGGUGCUUUGUGAAACUUAAUGUUGACGCCUCUUUUGAUCAUGAUAUAUGGAAGGGUACGAUGGGGGUCGUCUUGAGAGACGACUAA
This 774-nucleotide ribosomal RNA is filed under the name Triticum aestivum (bread wheat). RNAcentral's name for it is "partial small subunit ribosomal RNA". Lineage: Eukaryota; Viridiplantae; Streptophyta; Magnoliopsida; Poales; Poaceae. The record is from RNAcentral.